GGCAUGGUGAUGCAGUGGUUAGCAUGGCUGCCUCACGUAAAGGAGGUUCUGGGUUUGAGUCCCAGCUGGCCA
This 72-nucleotide transfer RNA is filed under the name Anguilla anguilla (European eel). RNAcentral's name for it is "tRNA-Val". The record is from RNAcentral. Lineage: Eukaryota; Metazoa; Chordata; Actinopteri; Anguilliformes; Anguillidae.